GUUAAAGUUAUUUAAUAUUAGUUCUUGUUGCAGUUGUGUUACACAGAUAUACACGGAUACUUUAAAGAAGCGUAGAACACCUAAGACCAAGUCACGACAAAAAAUUAAUAUAGAAGAAGUAUAUAGAAAUGCAUGGCAGCCACAAUUGAUGUGAUAAAAUUAAAAUGAUGAAUGUACUUUCAGGCAAAUGCCCAUGUACCAAUGGGUACGAGGCUCAUCUGUUGAUAAGUGAUACCACCGCCCAUGGAUAUUCUCAGAGGGCUCGAGAAUGCGUGGACGACCUUUUAAGAAUUGAAAAAGUUAUAGAGUUAUGGUAAGCUUGCUGUUGACUUGACAUUAUGUAUUUUUUUAAAUUAUACCUUUAUUAUAGACAUGACUGUACUUCUGUAAUUUUCUGGGAUGGACCAGCAAG
Long non-coding RNA from Pieris brassicae (large cabbage white), 412 nucleotides. RefSeq lists it as uncharacterized. Lineage: Eukaryota; Metazoa; Arthropoda; Insecta; Lepidoptera; Pieridae. The record is from RefSeq and is a predicted model, not a curated record. The transcript is spliced from 3 exons.